UAUCCAUCUCCACCUUGUUCACUGGCUGAGUCUGAUGAGGGAGGCAAGCCGGCGAUGUUUCCCGGAGAGCCAGCAGAGUUUGAGGGGGAUGCCAUCUCCGGAGACUAGCCAAGCUUCUCCCUCUCCUUCCUCCUCCAACUCAUUUCUCAGCUAGAAACAAGGAGGAGUUAUAUUUUAGCUCGCAUUGGUACUGGCAUUCACAAUUAUCAUGUGGUAGACGGAAG
This 224-nucleotide long non-coding RNA is filed under the name Phoenix dactylifera (date palm). RNAcentral describes it as "long non-coding RNA (PDAC_LNC012793)". The record is from RNAcentral. Lineage: Eukaryota; Viridiplantae; Streptophyta; Magnoliopsida; Arecales; Arecaceae.